Molecule: long non-coding RNA, 2540 nt
Organism: Tympanuchus pallidicinctus (lesser prairie-chicken)
Lineage: Eukaryota; Metazoa; Chordata; Aves; Galliformes; Phasianidae
Exons: 3
Source: RefSeq, a predicted model, not a curated record
GGACCUAAUGCUCUCCAGCCAUGGGCCCAUGAUGGGAGAGAGGCUCCUCCUUGCUCAGCACAGGGCAAAGAAGUGUGGACAUAGCACAGCCUUUUUAAAAUCUGCAAUUUAAUGGGACCUGGACAGAAGUGAACACAUUUACAGUGAAAUGCAGUUUGGGAAGACGGAUAAUAACACUCAAUUUCUACUCGUCAUUUUACUGAUGGAUAGUCUAGAGGAGGAGCCCAAAUGGAAAUUUUUAGAAAGAGGAAGUUUUCUGAGGCUGCUGGUAUGUGGUAAAGCAGCAGAAGCAGAUAAGACAUUGUUGCGGCAUUCUGAGCUAAUGUGCUCCAGCACCCUUAUCAUAGAAUCAUAGAAUCAUAGAAUGGCCUGGAUUGAAAAGCACCACAAUGAUCAUCCAGUUUCAACCCCCUGCUAUGUUCAGGUUGCCAACCACCAGAUUGGGCUGCCCAGAGCCACAUCCAGCCUGGCCUUGAAUGCCUCCAGGGAUGGGGCAUCCACAGCCUCCUUGGGCAACCUGUUCCAGUGCGUCACCACCCUCAGAGUGAAAAACUUCCAUCACCCUUACAGUUGGAAAAUCAGUCUGUGCUUUUCUUUGGGAAUCUUUCAUUACUUUUUUUUCUCCUCUGAGCCCUUCCUUGUAGCUCUCCUGUGUUUUUUGUUUUUUGGUUUUUUUUUUCUCCUGUGAAUGUAUGUUAGUAAGAAAGAGAUGAUAGCAUCACUUGAUGGACAAAGGAAAGGUGAGGUGGGUAUACAAAAGUAGAAACGUGCAAUAAGAAGAUGGUGGAACAGAUUGAGGAAGAUAAGCAGGCUGUAGCUAAAUUCAGGCUGAUAUUGGAAUGAGACAAAAAGAAAAUAUUUUAUGUGUGCCUGUGGCAACUAUCAAUAUUAAUAUGAAUUUGUGAUGACUGUUAGAAGCAUAAAACUAGGUGAAUAAAAAUUGAUCAUAGGAUUUAUACAAAACAUUAUGGUGAUUUAAAUCCCUAUGAGCAGUGUUUACUUAUGUCUUUGGGUAGAAUAAUGAACCUUUAAUUGCAGGCAAGCAAUUUUAUGUCAGAAUAAAUCAGAACCUGAGUGCAGCGAUUCCAUUUAUCCAACAAUGGAGUUGAUUUUGGCGCUCAUUCAGCUUUCUUUAAAUUAAGUUUUAAUGCAAAGCAUCUGAAGCACACUUACUAAAGACAUUAGAUACAACUCAUAUACAAUGAAAUGGUCCCCUAUCCUCCCUUUAUUUCCUUUAAACCCAAACAGAGCUUAUUUUUACAGUAGAGAUUCAUUUUUUGAUCUCUAUGAAACAAUGAGCCAAACAAAACAAAGCACACAUGCAACAAAGGUGGUUGAUUUCUGAGGCUGAAAGGGUAAAAUGCAGAAUGAAUUCUUGCUCCAGGAAUGUUUAGUUAAGCAUUCAGAAAUGUUGUUUUCUAAAGGAAUUAUACAGAUUAAAUGGUCUGGAACAAUAUCAUAUCAAAUGACUGAUGAGAGUAUUUUAAAAACAGAAGAUCUUAAUUUAGAAUGGAAAAGAAAAUUAUAUUUAAGAAUUUAUUUUUUCUAGUUUCAGUGUAUGUUAAACAAGAUGUGACCUGUCCUGAACUUGAGACUCACUUGAGAAGUAAUACAAAAUGUUAUUAAAGUACAGGCAUGCUAACAGAACAGCAAAAUCCCAUCUCUGUCAAUGCUGAGGCUCCUGAAUGUCUCAGGCAGCCCCUGCCGGAGGUCCAGAGCUAGCAAACUGCCUUUGUGUAUUACCAGAAGAUGUCAAACACCUGAAGCAGUAUGAACUGGAGGUCCUAUAAGGUUGUUUUUUUAAAAAAAAAUAAUUUAAAGUCAGAUUUUGUGACCUUUGCAAUGCAACAGGAAGAGCACAUUUGUAUUCAUGGGAGAUGUUCUGGGCAGUGAGGUAGCUGCUGCUGAGGAGAACCUGGGGUGUGGAGGUGGUGGUGGGAGCUGCUGACCAGUCCAAUAUUUUGGAGCUGGUAUGUGGAUGGCUCCUACAUAACAGCUAUCUCUGGUGAAGAGAUAGGAGGACUUUUGUGUAGCUGAGCUAGAAUCACUGGGGUGACAGCACUGUCUUCUUCCCAUUGAGGAGGAUGAGUUGAGGGGGUGGGGGGUGGGGAUGCUGCCAACAUCAGCUGGCUGUCAUGCUUGGCAUGUGUGCAGCUGAGAUCAUAGUGAGGAGCCUCUGUUCUUGUUCUAUCAGUAUUCCAUAUUAGAACAUGACACAGGCUGUUUGGGUGCAAAAGCACAGUGCACUACAAAACUGUGUUUGCUGGUUUCUCUAGCAGCCUCACAUGAGUUCUGACUCUCUAAGAGGAAGAUACUCUGGGAAGUACUGCAUUUCCUAGGAGCCUCCACAUGAUUUCCUAUUCUGCGUGUUGGGUGAAGGGUUCUCAUGCCUCUUCUAGGAGGUGAACCGUGGAGGGCUUGCUGAUAAAGUCUCAGAUUGACUCUCCUCUGGCUUUAUUUUUGGUUUGUUUUGAUAUAUUGGUCUGAAUUAUUCUGUAUUAUCUCACAUUCCUUUUAAUAAAUUAGUUUCUCCUGUCUCA